GCAAAGUAUUGACUAUUGUGAAAAGGAAACACUAAUUGAACAUUGACGUUUUAAUAAAUUUAAGGAUUAAAUUAAAUUUUAAUAUAACCAAAUUUCUAACUAUAGUCUGCCUUGAGCCCAUUGCGAAGUAUUCAUGGAAACAUAUAUCCAAUGAUCAGUUCUUUGUGCAUAGCCCACGGGCCCCAUUACAUACAUGCAAAACAAGGGCCGACCGGCCUAGGCAAGUUGAAAAUGUACCGUUUGUCGACCUAUCACCUACCCCAUGUGCCCCACAUGAAGGGUCGGUCUAAUGCUUCCCCUGUUUCCCAUUCCCUUGCCUAUGAUUUGACUGAGUAAAGAAGACACCGCGUCCUUCAAAACUAAAUAGCCUCCGUUUAUCAAAACCCCAGACAAGCUCCCGAAACAGUCAUCACAUCAAACCGCACCGUAUAGCCAUGAAAGUCGCUACAUUUUUGUGUCUAACAGUAACUGCGCUCAUGAUCACUGCAGCCGCAUCGCAGACGCCUCCAACUGCUUAUACCAACCAUACUGUCGGCGGCAAUGCCGGCUGGUUCUUCAAUUCCACCACUAACAUCUCCGCCGCUAACUAUUCAUCUUGGGCUGCUAUGCAGACCUUCAAUCUAGGGGACUUCCUCAGUAAGCUUCAUUUCAAAAAAAAUUCUUGUAAUCAUACUUUUCAAUUGGAGUCUAAAAUUUCCCCCCUUUUUAUUGGAUCUGUGCAGUUUUCAACACGAAUUCGAAUCAGACGGUGAUCCAGACCUACAACGAGAGCACAUUUAAGAGCUGCACAACGGACGAUGCAUCGGAUAAUGAUACGAUCCAGUACGACGGUGGCAGCAUGGUGUUUGGUGAAGCGUUGAUCAUCCCUGUGCCGUUGACUAUCAAAGGUCCAAACUAUUUCUUCUCCGAUGCUGAUGACGGCACUCAGUGCCAGCGUGGUCUGUCCUUCGAGAUCCAAGUCAACCAGGGCCUUGGCUUGCCGCCCAGCCUUAACCAGCCGCCACCGCCUCCUUACAUAGCGCCUCCUGGUCCGGACUCCGCUCAGUCCCCGCCUAUUACUAUUCCGGGAGGAUCGCAGGCGCCUGGCAACUCCGGGGUUAAGGAUGGUGCUAAUGUGCGUGGUGUUGCGUGCGCCCUUCUGUUUGGUGUUGCUAGCUUUUCUUUGUUCUAGGCUUUAGCAUCGCACGCAGUGUAGAGUUGUGGGGUUGCUACGUGUUGUUUGGUAAUUUGCGUAGACGUGUGAAUGCAGGGGCCACUUUUUGGCUCUUCCCACAGAUAAUCAUUACUCUGGAAUGGAUUACAGAACCGGUGCUCCUGUUAAUGUUUUACUUGAAACAAAUGAAAGGGAUACAUAGUUUCUUUUUUCUAUUAAAAA
Molecule: unclassified non-coding RNA, 1375 nt
Filed under: Hevea brasiliensis (rubber tree)
Lineage: Eukaryota; Viridiplantae; Streptophyta; Magnoliopsida; Malpighiales; Euphorbiaceae
Source: RNAcentral